Molecule: ribosomal RNA, 462 nt
Filed under: uncultured bacterium
Lineage: Bacteria
Description: partial 16S ribosomal RNA
Rfam family: Bacterial small subunit ribosomal RNA
Source: RNAcentral
CUACGGGGCGCUGCAGUGAGGAAUCUUGGACAAUGGGGGAAAUCCUGAUCCAGCGACGCCGCGUGGGUGAUGAAGGCCUUCGGGUUGUAAAGCCCUGUCAGAGGGGACGAACCCGUCACGUAGAAAUGCGUGGCGCUGACGGUACCUUCAGAGGAAGCACUGGCUAACUCCGUGCCAGCAGCCGCGGUAAUACGGAGAGUGCAAGCGUUGCUCGGAAUCACUGGGCGUAAAGGGCACGUAGGCGGCUUGGUAAGUUGGAUGUGAAAGCACACGGCUCAACCGUGGAGGGUCAUCCGAAAGUGUCUGGCUCGAGUUUGGGAGAGGGAAGUGGAAUUCCCGGUGUAGAGGUGAAAUUCGUAGAAAUCGGGAGGAACACCAGUGGCGAAGGCGACUUCCUAGACCAAUACUGACGCUGAGACCCGAAAGCGUGGGGAGCAAACAGGAUUAGAUACCCCAGUAGUC